This 580-nucleotide long non-coding RNA is filed under the name Ficedula albicollis (Collared flycatcher). Its description in RNAcentral is "lncRNA (ENSFALG00000028296.1)". The record is from RNAcentral. Lineage: Eukaryota; Metazoa; Chordata; Aves; Passeriformes; Muscicapidae.
UGGAGAACUUAUAGUGGCAUAGAAGUAAGUUGCCUGGUGCUUGCACCUCCUGAUACUCCAAUUUUUAUUUCCCCAAAGAGUGGUUGUGUGAUCCAGGGGGCAAGCACCAGCCCCUCCAGUGACCAGACACUUUGCCAAACGGUGCACGUCCCUGCAGAGCUGGUGUCCUAGAGGUAUCUGUCCACUGUAUGGGCCACGGUGAAGGCGUCUGAAUCCCAGGAUGCUCUGGGAGUACCAGUCUCGUGCAUCAGUUGGCCACGGUGAAGGCAUCUGAAUCCCAGGAUGCUCUGGGAGUACCAGUCUCGUGCAUCAAAGGAAAGCUGUCCACUUCGGGACCAUUUACAGAGAUAGGAUUUAGGAGCAAAGACAAGGCAGGCCUAGAACCGAAAAGGGUAUAUAGAAGAAAUUUAUUAAUAACACAGAAAAAAUAAGAAAUUCGGAAUAAGAUUUCCAGAUCAAUCCCUCCUCCCGCUCCUGACCUUCCAUAUGUAGAAAAAAAAUAAGAAAUUUGGAAUAAGAUUUCCAGAUCACUCCCCUCCACUUCCAUAUGUCUUAACCACAACAUACAGACACACUUCAG